GACGAACGCUGGCGGCGUGCUUAACACAUGCAAGUCGAGCGGUAAGGCCCUUUCGGGGGUACACGAGCGGCGAACGGGUGAGUAACACGUGGGUGACCUGCCCUCAGCUCUGGGAUAAGCCUGGGAAACCGGGUCUAAUACUGGAUAUGACUCCAUGACGCAUGUUGUGGGGUGGAAAGCCUUGUGCGGCUGAGGAUGGGCCCCGCGGCCUAUCAGCUUUGUUGGUGGGGUGAGGCCUACCAAGGCGACGACGGGUAGCCGGCCUGAGAGGGCGACCGGCCACACUGGGACUGAGACACGGCCCAGACUCCUACGGGAGGCAGCAGUGGGGAAUCUUGCGCAAUGGGCGAAAGCCUGACGCAGCGACGCCGCGUGAGGGAUGACGGCCU
Molecule: ribosomal RNA, 389 nt
Filed under: uncultured bacterium
Lineage: Bacteria
Description: bacterial SSU rRNA
Rfam family: Bacterial small subunit ribosomal RNA
Source: RNAcentral